AUGAAAUUUUCACAGGGGAGGAGGAGCAGCAACAUUUUGCCCAAGUUAAGGUUACACUGGCAAUAUACCAAGCAGCCCGAAGCACUUAAUUUUCAUGAGAGAUCUGAUUACAGCAGCCUGUAUUUGAGUACAGAAAUAUGUCCUGCAGAAUCUGCAGCCCCAGUGCUGCUUCCAAGAUGGGAAAGAACGAAGAACAAAGAUGAUGCAACUUAUUUAAAGAAGGCUUGGGAGAGCGAGACAAAGAAUUCAGAUCUGAUAUCCAAGCCACUGCCUUAAAUUUUCUGUCAAUACCCUUUCAACUUCAUGCUAUGCAAUAAACAUUCAAGCUGGGCAUAAAUACA
RNAcentral lists this long non-coding RNA (341 nucleotides) under Anser brachyrhynchus (Pink-footed goose). RNAcentral describes it as "lncRNA (ENSABRG00000019914.1)". Lineage: Eukaryota; Metazoa; Chordata; Aves; Anseriformes; Anatidae. The record is from RNAcentral.